GCCGCGGGUGGAAGCGGCGGCCACGGCGGUGGCGGCAGCCGCGGCGUAGGAGGAGGAGGAAGAGGAGGAAGAGGCUGCUGCCGCGUCGGUAGCUGCUCCUGCUGCGAAUCUUUCAGCUCCCUGGGCCGAGUGCGUGCCCAGCUUCGGGACUGCGGGAGCCGAAAGAAGACAGCUGCCAUCUCAGAAUGGACUGAAUCUUGGAGGAAAACCUGAAAGAGCCUUCCUUCAUUUGGUCAUUCAGCAAGUUUUUGUGAGUUCAUAUGUGUGAGACACUGAGUAUGCAGAGACCUACCAGUCUAAUUUAGAUUUGUUUGGUCCUCAAACUGCUUGCCACCUGGAGAGAGAGAAAGAAAAUAUAUAAUAAUGAAACAAGGAAAAAGACAGGACAGAUAAGCUCCUGCUUGGAUUACAGUGAAGAGAAAGAUAAAUAACCUCAAAUGCUGUUCUUGGAGAAUUUUUUAAUACUACGCAGACGAUAUGGGCCCACUAGGAGAGAGUAUUUAGUGACUAGAAAAUUUUGGCAUCCCAAGACAAGAUGUCAGCCUUUCAUUUAGGUGAAGAGAUGAAGACAUUCACUCACCUGGUCCAGGUCAUCCAGCUUGGUGCUGGAGCUCAGUCUCAGACGCAGCCUGUCUGACUCCAAGGCUUUCCUCUGUCCAUUUCCUACACAAACUCUAUCUGGAUGAGGUGAAAGAGAGAGAAACAAAAGGAGAGUAAAGGAAAGGAAAUGAAGACUAGAAUAAAAUAGCAAAAAGCUGGCACACUCAUGGGAGUGCUGGGGCAGGACCAACAAUUGUUCCCGUGACCCUUCAAUAGCACAAAUGCCUGAGUUCAGCUUUGUCACAGCUCAACAAGCCUGAGAUUUCUUGAUCAAUAUCACCCCCAGAGUGAGAAUUUGGGGAGCAUUGCAGAUGGGUCUGUUCCCACUCAAUAUGCUUACAUUACUUGGUUUAGAAAAGGGUAGGGGCUGUUUCCUGAAAUCAAGACCUCUGUAUGAUAAAUAUUCUCUUUCAAGCUAAGUGGCAGUGGAGAGACUUCAAGUGGUGCUACAAACCCUUAAGCCCGAUUGUGGUUCAAGUGCUAAAUAUUUAGGUGCUACAUGAGCAUCAAUUUCAAUGGCACCCUGCAGGGAUUUCCUCAGGAGGAACUAUGUUUUGUGAGUAUGCACCUGGUCUCUCUUUAAUAAGUGACAAUGUGACUUACUUAAUAAGAAGAAAGUGAGGGAAGACUAAUAGACCGAGUCAUACUGGUUGUUACAUGUGACAAGCAUUUGUUUUCUUCUUUCAUUGAAGAGGUUUGGUGGAGUAGAUCUUAGAGACCGUUUCAAAACCUUUGCUUGUUUACAUUAGGCUCAAGAGAAAUUGCCAUUCAUUAAGAACAAGACUCCAGUGAAAUGAGAAAUGAUACACCUAAUUAAAUCAAUAUUUGUCAGUGAACAUGUAGUUCAAGUUAAAAAUAUCUUUCUCAUUUUGUUUUGUUCAUUCAAAACACAUUGUCAAAUAACUAACUCUCUCAAAGUAUUCUUCAAGAAAUGGCAGCCAUGAUACCAAAUGGUGUACCAUUUGAAUACAAUAGAAACAUUUGAAAGUGGUAAUUUUAAUCAUAAACAAUAUCUGUCCUAUUCUAAAACAGAAAUUAUGAUUUCAGACCCAGAAAAGCCAGAGCAUCUGAAAAGUUAAUAACUCCAACAACAAAAUCACAAAGACCUCAUUGGCAUAUGAAUAUUGUAAGAGUAAUAACAAAGACAUUUGGGAAAAAUUUAUAUCUAUUGUAUUCAAAUGGAUUAUUUUCUAAAGUUUCCUCUAACAUCUGCUUUUUCAAUGCCAGCCAGCGAAUGGUAACAUGAUUGAACCAUAUUUUUAACCUCUUGGGUUUCAUAUUGUUUAAAUUUGUCAUGCUACAAUAUUUUUUGACAGACAGCAUUUCAAUCUUUGUUUGAGAUUCUUAGAGUAAUUUCUAGGAGAGCUGAAAACUAACUUCUUAGGAAGUGAUUCUUUAUCUGUAUCAGCAGAAAUAGAUUCAGAUAACAGCUGGCUUAAGCAGAAUGUGUGAAGCAAUGGUACUAAUGGUUGGUAAUUGAUGCUACAUGACCACUCACGAUGUUUAAUUUCUUACAAAAUCAGUUUGGUCUAUAGUUUACUGUUAUUUUUAUUAUCAUUUUGAUUUUAUGUUGCAACUAGGGCAAUCUAACCUAUAUUUUGCAAAUACCAAUGUUUUCUCUCAGAUGUAAUUUAUUUGCAGUGAAUUUUAUUUUUAAUGAGCCUUUCUUCCCCUUUCAUGCCUCCACAACUCUAGACAAAGUCAACUCCCAAUGGAGUGGAUCAGGACCUCUUGAUGUUUUCAAUCUUACUUUUCCUCUUGUUAAUUCUUGGGGCUGUAUUCCAGUAAAAUAAAUUUAAAAAGUAUCAGUGGCUGAUAAUAUCUUACUAAUUUCUAAGAUUAACAAACAGCCAUAAAAACUUAUUAUGCAUGUACUAUAUACUGGAUGGAGUUAUGCUUAUAUCCGACAUUAUAACGCACACACACAGACCCCACGCAGGACUGCCCAGAUUGAAAUGUAACAAUGGGCUCAUGAUUUUGAAUAAAUCAAAUCGUAUUAUCUUCUUGAUAAUAGUUUGUGUUCAAAUAUGAAAGAUAAUGAGCAUUAUACAAUACUCUUUCAAAGUCUACUGGCAUUGAUGGAUAAAUAUAUAUUAAUAAAUAUUGGCUUAUUAAGAGGAGAUAUAUCUCAUUUUAGGCAUACCUAUUCAUAUAGUAGUCAGAAAAAGAAUUAUAAAACAGAGUAAUUAGGAGUGGUUAUUUAUUCUAUGUAAGGGUAACAAAGAAGAUUUUUUAAAAUUGUGAACUCUGAUUUAAACAUUAUCAUUAGUAAUUAGAUUUUAAAAAUUUAAUUUGUGCAUUAGCUUUAGGGGUAUACCUUUUACCAUUACAACUGCACAGAUUUAUAAAUUUAUGUAUCUGAGCUACUUCCUAAAGAAUAUCCAUUUGGAUAAAGUGCUAAAUUCAGGUCAAAUUACUAUUUUCCUUUUUUUAAUUGGAGAUGGAGUCUCACUAUGUUGCCCAGGUUGAAGGCAGUGGCUAUUCCCAGGCAUGAUCAUAGUACACUGCAGCCUCAAACUCUUGGGCUCAAUCGAGCCUUCUGCCUCAGCCUCCCAUCAAAUUACUUUUUACAUUUUGAAAACAUUGUAUUUUAUUCUCUUAGAACAUUGAGAGUAAAUAUGGAAGAAGCAGUAGCUAAUAUCUAUUUACUAUUUAGUUUUUUCAGACUCUUUGCUAAGUUCUCUCUCUCAGCAUCCCAUUUAGCCUCAGAACAAUUUUUGAGAUGAGUGAAACACAGGCACACAAGUAACCGCAGCUACACCGCUAGUAAGAACCCAGGUCCAUAUGACUGCAAACAUCAUGCUUUCAAAAAGAAAAAAAUUUUUAUCAACCAUGAGAAACACAGCUAAAAACACCCUUAUUUUGGAAGGAAAUAAUAAAUAUUUUUGAGUACAAAGGGUCAGAUCAUUACACUCCAGCUACAUGUAAAAUAGAUUUUCUUUUCUAGUAGCCUAGCUUUGGGUUAAAACAAUCUAGGCUCUUCCAAAUUGGGGAAUUAGUGACUUAAUACUGAAAAUGCUUGAAGAAAAUGAUUCAUUGUACCAAUUAUAGCCUACUUGCAUAUUAAAUGCUCAGUUUUUAUGUGUAAACUAUGCCAAAUAUAGGGCCAUUUUAGCCACUGAAGUGUGUCUUUGUGUAAAUAAAAGUCAGCUCUCAUUGGUGCUAUCGCAGCGAUACAGAUGGGCUAUUCCUAGCAUGGUGCCAGCCCAUGGAAAGAUCUUAGAGGCCACAGACUGGUUUGACGUUUGACUUGGCUGUGAACCAACUACCAUAUGAUGAUUCCAUCCGUCUAUUUUGAUCGUCAGUUGUCUUCAUUAGCAUUCAUUCUGCUCUGGAGAUUCAGCCUUCACACAAAAGGUGGGUCCCUGGCCUCCCCCUUCUAUAGCACAGGCUAUGCGUAUUUUAUUAACUGCAGUGUGCAUUGGCAUCGUUCCUUGGUUCCAAACACUCUUGAAAUGCUAUCAACGUAAAUAAUUCUUUGUUCCUUGUCUAUGAAGGAACCACAGGUUCAAAAUCUCUGGCUCAUUAUGAUGCUGUAUUUUAUUUCAUUUUCCAUAUGGAGUGAGCAUAGCCCAUCUCUCAGAAUGUGGUGAAAGAUCUUUGCCAUAAUAACAAUAGAGCUUGGAAAAAACACUCAUCGGACCCAUGAGAGUUCUGAAGUGGCAUAGGUGU
This is a non-coding RNA of Microcebus murinus (gray mouse lemur), 4272 nucleotides long. The record is from RefSeq and is a predicted model, not a curated record. NCBI's taxonomy places the organism in Eukaryota, Metazoa, Chordata, Mammalia, Primates, Cheirogaleidae.